Long non-coding RNA from Bubalus bubalis (water buffalo), 1156 nucleotides. RefSeq lists it as uncharacterized. Lineage: Eukaryota; Metazoa; Chordata; Mammalia; Artiodactyla; Bovidae. The record is from RefSeq and is a predicted model, not a curated record. The transcript has 2 exons.
GUGGGUGGAGACUCGCGGCCGCGUCGGGCUGCCGGCCAUCUUGUCAGUGCUUGCCAUCUCGGCUUUCGUGGGCGAGCGAGUUCCUCAGAGCUUAUUUUUCUUUGUAAAGGAUAUGGUGACCUAGUGCCCUGAUUACUCUGCAGUAAGCGGUGGACGUUUUUCUACUACUGAAUCAAAGAAGUCGCAGUCUCUGUCUUGUAACUCACACAUUGGUGAUGGGUGCGUAAACUACGGCAGCAUGGUCACCGAGGUGAUGGAAAUACGAGGUGUUGCGCGGUUUAUAGAGCCUUGGCGGUCAUCAGGGUAUCAAAGAAGGUUGCCGGAAGGGUGAUUGGGAGCAGGCGAGGUGGAGGAGAGGGUAUCUCCCUAAGGGUGCAAAAAGUGCAAGUCUUUGAGCCUGAGCACCUGAAAAAAAGGCUAGAGGUAGUAAGGUUGGAGCUGGUAGUGAAGGGGCUGAUGGCAACAGAUGAUGCUGAGGAGGCUGGCAAAGAUGACUUCUGGAGAUUCUCGAGCAGUCUGAGAAGUUGCGUUUUAUGCUGAAGUCCCUGGGUAGCAACCUAAGAGUUUUAAGAGGACAGUUAGAGAAUAACACAAAUUAAGAGUAUAGUUGCUUUAGAGUCCAGGUGCUUGGGAUCGCUUUCUACCGCCUAUUUGCAUGACUUGGGCAAGCCACUUAAACUUUCUCUGCCUGCAUUUAAAGCACAGUUCGUCAUAGAGAAAUAACUAGUAAGGUAAAUUACAUGUUCCUAUUAAAAGGAAAAAAUAAUAGCGGGUAUCCAUGAAGCAUUUGUGUGCCAGACAAGGUGUAAGUUUUACAUUACUUGUCUCAACAAACCUGUGAUGUAGGUGCCAUUGUUAUCACCCGGUUAAUACAGAUGAAAAAAAGGGAGCGCUUAAGGGAGUUGUAGGGAAUUCCCUCGUCGUCCAGUGGUUAGUGGACCCUUAAGAUCCUACAUGGCAUAAAUAAAUAGAAUUAUCUUAUUUUUUGUUUUAGGAAGAAUGAAUAAAAUGCUUUUCUGCAACUAAUGGCCUACUUCAGACCAGUUUGAUCUCUUAUCCAGGUUACUGUCACAUUCUCUGACAUGUCUCUCAGACUCCAAUCCACUGUUCUCACUAUUGAGCCAAAAUGUUUUAUAAAACUCAACUCUAACUCAGC